RNAcentral lists this ribosomal RNA (460 nucleotides) under uncultured bacterium. RNAcentral's name for it is "partial 16S ribosomal RNA". It matches the Rfam family "Bacterial small subunit ribosomal RNA", at positions 338 to 795 of the family's 1533-position model. The record is from RNAcentral.
CCUACGGGAGGCAGCAGUGAGGAAUAUUGGUCAAUGGCCGGAAGGCUGAACCAGCCAUGCCGCGUGAAGGGCAGUGCCCUAUGGGCGUUAAACUUCUUUUGUGCGGGAGCAAUAAUGGUCACGUGUGGCCAGACGAGAGUACCGUACGAAUAAGCAUCGGCUAACUCCGUGCCAGCAGCCGCGGUAAUACGGGGGAUGCAAGCGUUUUCCGGAUUUAUUGGGUUUAAAGGGUGCGUAGGCUGUGAGGUAAGUCAGCGGUGAAAUGCCCCCGCUCAACGGGGUGAAGUGCCAUUGAUACUGCCUGGCUGGAAUGCGGAUGCCGUGGGAGGAAUGUGUGGUGUAGCGGUGAAAUGCAUAGAUAUCACACAGAACACCGAUUGCGAAGGCAUCUCACGAAUCCGCGAUUGACGCUGAUGCACGAAAGCGUGGGUAUCAAACAGGAUUAGAUACCCUUGUAGUC